AGAAAACUAAGAAAAAUUUUAAGCUUCUAACUUAAAUAUUAAGCGGUUAAAUUCCGUUUGUUUUCUU
Molecule: transfer RNA, 67 nt
Filed under: Tomocerus caputiviolaceus
Lineage: Eukaryota; Metazoa; Arthropoda; Collembola; Entomobryomorpha; Tomoceridae
Description: tRNA-Ser
Source: RNAcentral